UACGAAGGGUGCAAGCGUUACUCGGAAUUACUGGGCGUAAAGCGCGCGUAGGCGGCCUCAUAAGUCCGUUGUGAAAGUCAAAGGCUCAACCUUUGAAAGCCGAUGGAUACUGUGAGGCUAGAGUCCGGAAGAGGCGGGUGGAAUUCCUGGUGUAGCGGUGGAAUGCGCAGAUAUCAGGAGGAACACCAAUAGCGAAGGCAGCUCGCUGGGACGGUACUGACGCUAAGGCGCGAAAGCGUGGGGAGCGAACAGG
This 253-nucleotide ribosomal RNA is filed under the name uncultured bacterium. RNAcentral's name for it is "partial 16S ribosomal RNA". It matches the Rfam family "Bacterial small subunit ribosomal RNA", at positions 524 to 776 of the family's 1533-position model. The record is from RNAcentral.